Molecule: ribosomal RNA, 460 nt
Filed under: uncultured bacterium
Lineage: Bacteria
Description: partial 16S ribosomal RNA
Rfam family: Bacterial small subunit ribosomal RNA
Source: RNAcentral
CCUACGGGAGGCAGCAGUGAGGAAUAUUGGUCAAUGGACGAGAGCCUGAACCAGCCAAGUAGCGUGAAGGAUGACUGCCCUACGGGUUGUAAACUUCUUUUAUAAGGGAAUAAAGUGAGGCACGUGUGCCUUUUUGUAUGUACUUUAUGAAUAAGGAUCGGCUAACUCCGUGCCAGCAGCCGCGGUAAUACGGAGGAUCCGAGCGUUAUCCGGAUUUGUUGGGUUUAAAGGGAGCGUAGAUGGGUUGUUAAGUCAGUUGUGAAAGUUUGCGGCUCAACCGUAAAAUUGCAAUUGAUACUGGCAGCCUUGAGUACAGUAGAGGUAGGCGGAAUUCGUGGUGUAGCGGUGAAAUGCUUAGAUAUCACGAAGAACUCCGAUUGCGAAGGCAGCUUACUAAACUGCAACUGACACUGAUGCUCGAAAGUGUGGGUAUCAAACAGGAUUAGAGACCCUUGUAGUC